Oncorhynchus tshawytscha (Chinook salmon) is the source of this 1217-nucleotide long non-coding RNA. NCBI's taxonomy places the organism in Eukaryota, Metazoa, Chordata, Actinopteri, Salmoniformes, Salmonidae. The record is from Ensembl.
GUCUUCUGGUCCGACUCAGGAAGCGUGCACAACACCCACCACUCCCGAGUAAUUUACUCGCUAAUGUCCAAUCUCUGGAUAAUAAAAUUGAUGAUCUCAAGGCAAGAGUUGCUUUUCAGAGGGACACCAGGGAUUGGAAUGUACUCUGCUUCACGGAAACAUGGCUCUCUCUCUAUAUACUGUCUGACUCUGUAAAGCCAGUUCGGUUCUCAGUACAUCCCACCGACAGGAACAAACAUCUCUCCGGGAGGCAGAAGGAUGGAGAGACAAGGAAAACCAGCCACGUCGCGGACACCAACGUCUUGCUUCCAGACAGGCUGAACACCUUCUUCGCUCACUUUGAGGAUAAUACAGUCCCACCGACGCGGCCCGCUACCAAGGACUGUGGGCUCUCCUUCUACGUGGCCGAUGUGAGUAAUACAUUUAAGCGUGAUAACCCUCGCAAGGCUGCCGGCCCAGAUGGUAUACCUAGCCGUGUCCUCAGAGCAUGCGCAGAUCAGCUGACUGGUGUGUUCACAGAUACAUUCAAUCUCUCCCUAUCCCAGUCUGUUGUCCCCACAUGCUUCAAGAUGGUCACCAUUGUCCCUGUAUCUAAGAAAGCAAAGGACCUGAGCCCUAGGACCAUGCCCCAGGACUACCUGACAUGAUGACUCCUUGCUGUCCCCAGUCCACCUGACCGUGCCGCUGCUCCAGUUUCAACUGUUCUGCCUUAUUAUUAUUCGACCAUGCUGGUCAUUUAUGAACAUUUGAACAUCUUGGCCAUGUUCUGUUAUAAUCUCCACCCGGCACAGCCAGAAGAGGACUGGCCACCCCACAUAGCCUGGUUCCUCUCUAGGUUUCUUCCUAGGUUUUGGCCUUUCUAGGGAGUUUUUCCUAGCCACCGUGCUUCUACACCUGCAUUGCUUGCUGUUUGGGGUUUUAGGCUGGGUUUCUGUACAGCACUUUGAGAUAUCAGCUGAUGUACGAAGGGCUAUAUAAAUACAUUUGAUUUGAUUUGAUUUGGUCAGUACAGGUGCAUCAAAGCUGUGACCGAGAGACUGAAAAACAGCAUCUAUCUCAAGGCCAUCAGACUGCUAAAUAGCCAUCACUAGCACAUCAGGGGGGGCUGCCUUAUAGACAUAGAUGAGGAAUUACUGGCCACUUUUAAUAAUGGAUCACUAGCCACUUUAAUAAUGUUCCGUAUCUAGCAUUACUCAUCUCAUAUGUAUAAACUGCAC